GUGGUUUUCAUUAAUCAAUAAUCGUUGGUACUAAUUUUCAGUAAUACAAAAUAUUCAAUAUUCCAUUAAAUAAUAAAAAUGUUAUAAUCAAUAAGUAAGAAAAUAUAAAAUAAAAUGGAUAUAAAUAAUUUAAAACAUACACAUAAAUAAAAAUUAAUUCAAUCGCCGCGGAGUCAGAUUUGCCUAAAGUCAGAUUCGCAUAGCACACCGGCACGUCACUAAAUGUGAUUUGUU
This is a non-coding RNA of Cinara cedri, 234 nucleotides long. The record is from the annotation of a GenBank genome assembly. Lineage: Eukaryota; Metazoa; Arthropoda; Insecta; Hemiptera; Aphididae.